AGGGUGCGAGCGUUAAUCGGAAUUACUGGGCGUAAAAGCGCAUGCAGGUGGUUUGUUAAGUCAGAUGUGAAAAGCCCGGGCUCAAACCUCGGAAAUUGCAUUUGAAAACUGGCAGACUAGAGUACUGUAGGAGGGGGUAGUAAUUUCAGGUGUAGCGGUGAAAAUGCGUAGAGAUCUGAAGGAAUACCGGUGGCGAAGGCCGGCCCCUGGACAGAUACUGACACUCAGAUGCGAAAGCGUGGGGAGCAAACAGGAUUAGAUACCCUGGUAG
Molecule: ribosomal RNA, 271 nt
Filed under: uncultured bacterium
Lineage: Bacteria
Description: partial 16S ribosomal RNA
Rfam family: Bacterial small subunit ribosomal RNA
Source: RNAcentral